This 261-nucleotide ribosomal RNA is filed under the name uncultured prokaryote. Its description in RNAcentral is "partial 16S ribosomal RNA". It matches the Rfam family "Bacterial small subunit ribosomal RNA", at positions 524 to 784 of the family's 1533-position model. The record is from RNAcentral.
UACGUAGGUGGCAAGCGUUAUCCGGAAUUAUUGGGCGUAAAGAGCGCGCAGGUGGUUGAUUAAGUCUGAUGUGAAAGCCCACGGCUUAACCGUGGAGGGUCAUUGGAAACUGGUCGACUUGAGUGCAGAAGAGGGAAGUGGAAUUCCAUGUGUAGCGGUGAAAUGCGUAGAUAUUAGGAGGAACACCAGUAGCGGAGGCGGCUCUCUGGACUGUAACUGACGCUGAGGCACGAAAGCGUGGGGAGCAAACAGGAUUAGAUA